UGCCAGUUAUCGUGCCAACGGUAAACGCUGGGUAGCCAUGUGCGGAGUGGAUAACCGCUGAAAGCAUCUAAGUGGGAAGCCCACCUCAAGAUGAGUAUUCUCAUGGGGUAACCCAGUAAGGUCACGGGAAGAACACCCGUUGAUAGGCUCUACGUGGAAGCGCGGCAACGUGUGAAGCGGAGGAGUACUAAUAGACCGAGGGCUUGACCAU
Molecule: ribosomal RNA, 211 nt
Filed under: Synechococcus sp. TMED169
Lineage: Bacteria; Bacillati; Cyanobacteriota; Cyanophyceae; Synechococcales; Synechococcaceae
Description: partial 23S ribosomal RNA
Rfam family: Bacterial large subunit ribosomal RNA
Source: RNAcentral